UUGUGGAGUGGUGGUGAGUUAGUGCAGUGUGGUGAGGUGGAAGGGAUUGGACGUUAGCUCUCUCUCUCUCGCUCUCUUUCUUUCUCUCUCUCUAUUUCUAUUUUCUUUUCCCUUAUUCUUCCUUUUAUAAUCUCUAACUCGACCUGUAUUUCUAGUUAUCUCUGUUUAUCUAUUUUCCCUUUCCAUCUCUUUCCUUCAUUUUCCUUCCUAUCCUUUCCUCUCCUUUCCUUUCCUUUUCUUUCCUUUCUUUUCUCUCCUUCCUUUCCUCUCCUUUCCUUUCUUUUCUCUCCUUUCCUUUCCUUUCCUCUCCUUUCUUUUCCUUUCUCUUCCUUUCCUUCCCUUUCCUCACCACCUCUCUCAUUCUCUCCCCUCCUCUUCCUCCUCCUCCUCCUCCUCCCACACCACACCUGGGCAUCAAUACAUCAACUCACAGUUUUGAGACGGAGUGGAAGAGGAAGAGGAAGAAUGAGAAGAAGAGGAGGAGAAAAAGAAAAGAAGAAGAAGAAGAAGAAGAAAAUGUCUAUUCCAUCAUCUUCCACCUCCUCCACCAUCUACACAAGGCCCCUCUCCAUCCACA
Molecule: long non-coding RNA, 577 nt
Organism: Eriocheir sinensis (Chinese mitten crab)
Lineage: Eukaryota; Metazoa; Arthropoda; Malacostraca; Decapoda; Varunidae
Exons: 2
Source: RefSeq, a predicted model, not a curated record